Molecule: ribosomal RNA, 253 nt
Filed under: uncultured bacterium
Lineage: Bacteria
Description: partial 16S ribosomal RNA
Rfam family: Bacterial small subunit ribosomal RNA
Source: RNAcentral
UACAGAGGUCCCAAGCGUUGUUCGGAUUCACUGGGCGUAAAGGGUGCGUAGGCGGUCGGGUAAGUCUGGCGUGAAAUCUCCAAGCCUAACUUGGAAACUGCGUUGGAUACUAUCCGGCUCGAGGAAUGGAGGGGAGACUGGAAUACUUGGUGUAGCGGUGAAAUGCGCAGAUAUCAGGAGGAACACCGGUGGCGAAGGCGGGUCUCUGGGCCGAUAUUGACGCUGAGGAGCGAAAGCGUGGGGAGCGAACAGG